GUGCUCACUUCAGCAGCUCAUAUACUAAAAACUGGAAUGAUACAGAAGAUUGGCAUGGCCUCUGCACAAGGAUGACACACAAUUUCUUUUUUUUUUUUUUUUUUUU
This 106-nucleotide small nuclear RNA is filed under the name Cavia aperea (Brazilian guinea pig). The record is from RNAcentral. Lineage: Eukaryota; Metazoa; Chordata; Mammalia; Rodentia; Caviidae.